UACAGAGGGUGCGAGCGUUAAUCGGAAUUACUGGGCGUAAAGCGUGCGUAGACGGUAGCGUAAGUCAGAUGUGAAAGCCCCGGGCUCAACCUGGGAAUUGCAUUUGAGACUGCUCUGCUCGGGUGCGGAAGAGGGAAGCGGAAUUUCCGGUGUAGCGGUGAAAUGCGUAGAUAUCGGAAGGAACACCAGUGGCGAAAGCGGCUUCCUGGUCCGAUACCGACGUUCAGGCACGAAAGCGUGGGAGCAAACAGG
Molecule: ribosomal RNA, 252 nt
Filed under: uncultured bacterium
Lineage: Bacteria
Description: partial 16S ribosomal RNA
Rfam family: Bacterial small subunit ribosomal RNA
Source: RNAcentral